GGGGAUAUAUUUCAAUUGGUAGAAUAUAUGCUUUGCAAGCAUAAGGUUACGGGUUCGAGUCCCGUUAUCUCCA
Molecule: transfer RNA, 73 nt
Filed under: Telonemida sp.
Lineage: Eukaryota; Telonemia; Telonemida
Also listed under: 1 other name
Description: tRNA-Ala
Rfam family: tRNA
About the family: Transfer RNA (tRNA) molecules are approximately 80 nucleotides in length. Their secondary structure includes four short double-helical elements and three loops (D, anti-codon, and T loops).
Source: RNAcentral